RNAcentral lists this ribosomal RNA (709 nucleotides) under Enterococcus mundtii. Its description in RNAcentral is "bacterial SSU rRNA". It matches the Rfam family "Bacterial small subunit ribosomal RNA", at positions 67 to 755 of the family's 1533-position model. The record is from RNAcentral. Lineage: Bacteria; Bacillati; Bacillota; Bacilli; Lactobacillales; Enterococcaceae.
UUCCCAUCGGAGCUUGCUCCACCGGGAAAAGAGGAGUGGCGAACGGGUGAGUAACACGUGGGUAACCUGCCCAUCAGAAGGGGAUAACACUUGGAAACAGGUGCUAAUACCGUAUAACAAUCGAAACCGCAUGGUUUCGUUUUGAAAGGCGCUUUACGGUGCCGCUGAUGGAUGGACCCGCGGUGCAUUAGCUAGUUGGUGAGGUAACGGCUCACCAAGGCCACGAUGCAUAGCCGACCUGAGAGGGUGAUCGGCCACAUUGGGACUGAGACACGGCCCAAACUCCUACGGGAGGCAGCAGUAGGGAAUCUUCGGCAAUGGACGAAAGUCUGACCGAGCAACGCCGCGUGAGUGAAGAAGGUUUUCGGAUCGUAAAACUCUGUUGUUAGAGAAGAACAAGGGUGAGAGUAACUGUUCACCCCUUGACGGUAUCUAACCAGAAAGCCACGGCUAACUACGUGCCAGCAGCCGCGGUAAUACGUAGGUGGCAAGCGUUGUCCGGAUUUAUUGGGCGUAAAGCGAGCGCAGGCGGUUUCUUAAGUCUGAUGUGAAAGCCCCCGGCUCAACCGGGGAGGGUCAUUGGAAACUGGGAGACUUGAGUGCAGAAGAGGAGAGUGGAAUUCCAUGUGUAGCGGUGAAAUGCGUAGAUAUAUGGAGGAACACCAGUGGCGAAGGCGGCUCUCUGGUCUGUAACUGACGCUGAGGCUCG